CAAUAGCGUAUAUUAAAGUUGUUGCAGUUAAAAAGCUCGUAGUUGGAUUUCUGCCGAGGACGACCGGUCCGCCCUCUGGGUGAGUAUCUGGCUCGGCCUGGGCAUCUUCUUGGAGAACGUAGCUGCACUUGACUGUGUGGUGCGGUAUCCAGGACUUUUACUUUGAGGAAAUUAGAGUGUUUCAAGCAGGCAUACGCCUUGAAUACAUUAGCAUGGAAUAAUAAGAUAGGACCUCGGUUCUAUUUUGUUGGUUUCUAGAGCUGAGGUAAUGAUUAAUAGGGACAGUUGGGGGCAUUAGUAUUUAAUUGUCAGAGGUGAAAUUCUUGGUAUUUAUGAAAGACUAACUACUGCGAAAGCAUUUGCCAAGGAUGUUUUCAUUAAUACAAGAAACGAAAGUUAGGGAUCGAAGACG
Molecule: ribosomal RNA, 412 nt
Filed under: uncultured eukaryote
Lineage: Eukaryota
Description: SSU rRNA
Rfam family: Eukaryotic small subunit ribosomal RNA
Source: RNAcentral